RNAcentral lists this long non-coding RNA (2203 nucleotides) under Homo sapiens (human). RNAcentral's name for it is "HSALNT0348475". Lineage: Eukaryota; Metazoa; Chordata; Mammalia; Primates; Hominidae. The record is from RNAcentral.
AUUCAAAGCCCAGCUGCAUAUUGCAUAACACCUUGAAUUAGAAAAUCCACGACCCACAAAACGCUUACCUACUUUGUGCGGUUUAAAUAAAGCAGAGUGCUACUCCUCUUUAAAGAACUGCUUUACAGUUAUCUUCCUGUCAGAAUUCCAAUUAUUCUAUGACUCAGUGGGAAGUGAGCAGCGUCUCUGCCUGGCCGCCCAUCCUCUGGGAUGUGAGGAGCGCCUCUGCCCGGCCGCCCCGUCUGGGAGGAAGUGAGGAGCGCCUCUGCCCGGCUGCCCCGAAUGGGAAGUGAGGAGCACCUCUGCCUGGCCACCCCCUCUGGGAAGUGAGGAGCGCCUCUGCCCAGCUGCCCCAUCUGGGAGGAAGUGAGGAGUGCCUCUGCCCAGUUGCCCCGAAUGGGAAGUGAGGAGCGCCUCUGCCCGGCUGCCCAGUCUGGGAAGUGAGGAGUGCCUCUGCCCGGACACCCCAUCUGGGAGGUGAGGAGCGCCUCUGCCCGGCUGCCACCCCAUCUGGGAGGUGAGGGGCGUCUCUGCCCAGCCGCCCCGCCUGGGAAGUGGGCGCCUCUGUCCGGCCGCCCCGUCUGGGAGGUGAGGGGCGUCUCUGCCUGGCUGCCCCGUCUGGGAGGUGAGGGGUGCCUCUGCCCAGCUACCAGCCUGGGAAGUGAGGAGCGCCUCUGCCCAGCUGCCCUUUGUCUGGGAGGUGGGCAGCACCUCUGCCUGGCCGCCCCAUCUGGGAAGUGGGCACCUCUGCCUGGCCGCCCUGUCUGGGAGGUGAGGGGCGUCUCUGCCCGGCCGCCCCAUCUGGGAGGUAAGGAGUGCCUCUGCCCGGCCGCCCCGUCUGGGAAGUGGGCGCCUCUGCCCAGCCACCCCGUCUGGGAGGUGAGGGGCGUCCCUGCCCAGCCGCCCCGCCUGGGAAGUGAGGAGUGCCUCUGCCCAGCCACCCUUCAUCUGGGAGGUGGGGAGCGCCUCUGCCCGGCCGCCCCGUCUGGGAGGUGAGGGGCGUCUCUGCCUGGCCGCCCCGUCUGGGAGGUGAGGGGCGCCUCUGCCCGGCCACCCCACCUGGGAAGUGAGGAGCGCCUCUGCCCAGCCGCCCUUCAUCUGGGAGGUGGGGAGUGCCUCUGCCCGGCCGCCCCAUUGGGGAAGUGGGCGCCUCUGCCCAGCCACCCCGUCUGGGAGGUGAGAGGUGUCUCUGCCUGGCUGCCCCGUCUGGGAUGUGGGGAGCGCCUCUGCCCGGCCGCCCCGUCUGGGAGGUGGGGAGUGCCUCUGCCCGGCCGCCCAUCGUCUGGGAGGUGAGGAGCGCCUCUGCCCGGCUGCCCCGUCUGGGAUGUGGGGAGCACCUCUGCCCGGCCGCCCCUUGUGGGAUGUGAGGCGCACCUCUGCCCGGCCGCCCCAUCUGGGAAGUGGGGGGCACCUCUGCCUGGCCGCUCUUCGUCUGGGAGGUGGGGAGCGCCUCUGCCCGGCUGCUCUUCGUCUGGGAGGUGGGGAGCGCCUCUGCCCGGCUGCCCAUCGUCUGGGAUGUGAGGAGCGCCUCUGCCCGGCCGCCAACCCAUCUGGGAAGUGAGGAGCGCCUCUGCCCAGCCGCCCCAUCUGGGAAGUGAGGAGCGCCUCUGCCCGGCUGCCCUGUCUGGGAAGUGAGGAGCGCCUCUGCCAGGCCGCCCCAUCUGGGAAGUGUACCCAACAGCUCCUAAGAGACAGCGACCAUCGAGAACGGGCCAUGAUGACGAUGGCGGUUUUGUUGAAAAGAAAAGGGGGAAAUGUGGGGAAAAGAAAGAGAGAUCAGAUUGUUACUGUGUCUGUGUAGAAAGAAGUAGACAUAGGAGACUCCAUUUUGUUCUGUACUAAGAAAAAUUCUUCUGCCUUGGGAUGCUGUUAAUCUAUAACCUUACCCCCAACCCCCUGCUCUCUGAAACAUGUGCUGUGUCAACUCAGGGUUAAAUGGAUUAAGGGCGGUGCAAGAUGUGCUUUGUUAAACAGAUGCUUGAAGACAGCAUGCUCGUUAAGAGUCAUCAUCACUCCCUAAUCUCAAGUACCCAGGGACACAAACAGGGCCAAAGGCCGCAGGGACCUCUGCCUAGGAAAACCAGAGACCUUUGUUCUCGUGUUUAUCUGCUGACCUUCUCUCCACUAUUAUCCUAUGACCCUGCCACAUCCCCCUCUCUGAGAAACACCCAAGAAUGAUCAAUAAAUGCUAAAAAAAUAAUAA